This is a long non-coding RNA of Ornithodoros turicata, 2846 nucleotides long. RefSeq lists it as uncharacterized. The record is from RefSeq and is a predicted model, not a curated record. The transcript has 2 exons. NCBI's taxonomy places the organism in Eukaryota, Metazoa, Arthropoda, Arachnida, Ixodida, Argasidae.
AAAGGCCAUCAAAUCUGGGGGAAGGGAUCUAUUUUCUUGCACAUGAUGUUACACAAGCUUCUACACUCCGUCUUCUUAUUCUCUGUAGAGUCGCUUCAGUGCUUGACGUCAUGGGGGUGCGGCGGCGCUGCUAUCGUGCUUGGUGGGCGAAAACCGCGCGAUAAUUGAGUCAUUGUGUGUUUUCGGUCAUUAUUAAGGGCAUGCCGCAAAGUGGUGUAGCCAUUGCAUGUCCUUCGCGGUACAGAAUGGAGAAAUACGUCGCAUACACCGUGCGGUUUCCUACUCCAUUUCCUCUACCAGCGACGUCUACUCCAUACGCGUGAGCGGACGCACCCUCUCGUUUACAGACUGAAGUGGGUGUAUGCGUUACAUAAUGCCAAAUAUAUUUUCCUCCAGAGCUUGUUAGUUGAUUGGCAGAUCCCCUGCUAGGCUUGCAACUAGCAUCUCUCGUGCGUUGUUUUCUUUCUUCGUUUCAUUUCUAAUCUCCCUAAUUGCUGUGAAGGAGGCUAUCCCUGAUCACAGCCAACGGUCGCAUAUUCGCUGAUGGGCAGCCCAUUGGGCCAGCGUGCAUAAAUUUCUACUAAGGCAGGUGAUGAGAAAGAAGCUACGUGGCGGCACUGUAUACCAGACUCACCGUGAGGCCAUUACAUCGGUCUUUGUGUUUUCUAAAAAGGAGCUGUAAAGUAAAUGGCACGCAUGUAGAACCUUUGUGGUUUCCUCAAAGCUCGUAACUUGGGCGCUUCAGAUGCCUAACGUCUCAGCUGUAAAUCCUCCUGCUUUUUCAGCAGUUGAAUUUCAAAAAUUGCUUGCUAAGCAAAGGAUGCCGAAUCCGCGGGCUACUCAGACGCGACACCCCUUAGGCGGCUAGAACGCCGUCUACUGAAAAGGAGACAAGCACCCAAGCCUGAUAUCCGUAUGAACUAUGAAGUGCCUGGAUGCGAGUUUUCGGAGGCAGCAGCGAUACAGAGACGCGCAGAGAGAGAAAGACCAACAGAGGGCGCGGACCGAGCACAUACUCGAAAACUUCUGUUGCUACACUCGUAUUCUGUUCUAGCAUUGCUCUGAAUUCAUUAAUCAUUGGUACUGAUCUUUUAUCACGAUAUUAUUGUUGCUUCACAAUGCCCUUCAACCUUUGAUCGUCCAUAUCGGCUUCCUCGUGCAGUUCCAAUUCUCCUGUUUUUUCUAUGUUACAUACAUGGCAUUCCCUAUCGGCGAGAUGUUCAUUUGCAUUCUUUCUCUUUAUUCUGUUUCUGUGUCUUCCUUGGAUUCAGUGUAUGAAAUGCUUCAUUGUUUGUUUGAAUCUAGUCUUGUGUACAUGCAUUUGUCUACUUUUUGUGUGCCUCAGUCUACUUGCAAGGAUACGAUAUACGGUCGACGGGUAUAAGGAAGACGCACACUACCAACCCACUGUCUCCUGUUAUGUGUCAGAUGAAACAGACCUGUUCCCACGAAAUCAGGGUGUCGAACCGCAAAAAAUACGGGUUCGGUUCGGGUUCGCGUUGUUUUGAUUUCGUUCCGGUUCAGUUCCGGUUCGGCCACGCCAAAAACCGAACCGGUUCGCAAACCGGUUCGCAGCCCCGAACCGGUUCGCGAACCGGUUCAACGCUUCCGUUUUAUAUGUUCCAUAAAACUGCUUUUAUCAGGAAAUGCGUGGCUAAUAGCUUACUGCUGUUGUCUGCAUUGACGUCUUUAGCGGUGAGGUAGCUCUUUAGCGAGAGAAAUAAGAAAUGGAUGAACACUUAUUGCAAAUAGAGUCCACGCUGAUGAAACGGUGUUGUCCCGCUACUUUCUGUUCCCAAAAUCUCUUUUUCACACGCACAGUGCCAGCAAGAUAAACUUAAAGGAAGCCUAAUAAGAUGGACAGCGUAAGAUAGACGACAGUACUUGCCGGCACACUGCCUUCGCAGCGUGAAUCGAUCUGAAACCGUACUGAAGCAUGACGAAAAUAAGCCUGCCAGCCUUACUCUGUCCGAGCUCACAGCAGUGUACUAGUUAAUUCACCUCACAAAGGUGGUGGUGGUGGUGGUGGUGAUAGGGCUUGCCGUUGACAAAGGCAAUGUAUCACGACACAACUGCACUACCAAUAAGCAGAACCACAUUUACUUUUGAAACCACGACCAAUCAAACAGGCACCGUUCUGCGUACGCUCCUUCUCCACUUCUCAUGUUUCUGACUUGUUUAAUUUUUACUGCUCACGUGUAAAAAGAAAUCUUGGGCGCUUAUUUGAUCACAUAUUCGUCGAGUAGAGCUACAUAACUGGCCAACUCCAUUCCUGUUGCAUUCGUCCGCGUGGCACCUUGUCUCUGAAGAGUAGACGCCGCAUCACCGCGUGGGGCGCCAGCCUGGGCGCUCACAAGGACAACUGAGCUUCAACAUGUUAAAAAGAUGCUGAAAGUAUACUUACUAUACGUCGUCGUCUGACUGCUAGGUGAAAAUUUCUGAAAUCCAUGAUAUAGGCGCGUGAUGAUGAUACCGAUGUGUCUUCGUUCGGGGAUAGGGAGGAACUCUUGUGCUGACUUCUAUGUCCGAACCGUUUUGUUGCGAAUCGGUUACCGCUAUUAUUUUUUAUGGUUCUGCUCCGGUUCGGGUUCAGCAGUGUUCUGAAAAUUUCUGUUCGGGUUCAGUUCCGGCAAAAAUAACGGUUCAGGUACGGUUUUCGGUUCGGGUUCGGUUCGACACCCUGCACGAAAUGACCGUCGUAGUCUCCAGAGUCAAUUAAGGAAAUAAGCAGAGGUAUCGAUAAACAAUGAAAUCUCAAAGGCACUAGACAACAACCUAAAAUACAGCAGCGACGACAUAUCAUUGCUGCUUUUAUUAUACCACUUGAUCCCAGAGUAAAAAAACAA